GUGGGGAAUCUUCCGCAAUGGACGAAAGUCUGACGGAGCAACGCCGCGUGAGUGAAGAAGGUUUUCGGAUCGUAAAGCUCUUUCGUUAGGGACGAACGUGCUCUUUGUGAAUAAUGAGGAGUAAUGACGGUACCUAAAUAAGAAGCCACGGCUAACUACGUGCCAGCAGCCGCGGUAAUACGUAGGUGGCAAGCGUUGUCCGGAAUUAUUGGGCGUAAAGCGCGCGCAGGCGGGAUAUCAAGUCUGUCUUAAAAGUGCGAGGCUCAACCUCGUGAGGGGACAGAAACUGGUAUUCUUGAGUGUCGGAGAGGAAAGUGGAAUUUCAAGUGUAGCGGUGAAAUGCGUAGAGAUUUGGAAGAACACCAGUGGCGAAGGCGACUUUCUGGACGAUGUCUGACGCUGAGGCGCGAAAGCUAGGGGAGCGAACGGGAUUAGAAACCCUAGUAGUCC
This 450-nucleotide ribosomal RNA is filed under the name uncultured bacterium. RNAcentral describes it as "partial 16S ribosomal RNA". It matches the Rfam family "Bacterial small subunit ribosomal RNA", at positions 354 to 796 of the family's 1533-position model. The record is from RNAcentral.